Molecule: ribosomal RNA, 254 nt
Filed under: uncultured bacterium
Lineage: Bacteria
Description: partial 16S ribosomal RNA
Rfam family: Bacterial small subunit ribosomal RNA
Source: RNAcentral
UACGUAGGGGGCAAGCGUUGUCCGGAUUUAUUGGGCGUAAAGAGCUCGUAGGUGGUUCGGUAGGUCGGAUGUGAAAUCUCCAGGCUCAACCUGGAGGGGUCAUUCGAUACUGCCGUGACUAGAGUUCGGUAGGGGAGUGUGGAAUUCCUGGUGGAGCGGUGAAAUGCGCAGAUAUCAGGAGGAACACCCGUGGCGAAGGCGGCACUCUGGGCCGAUACUGACACUGAGGAGCGAAAGCGUGGGGAGCGAACAGG